Molecule: long non-coding RNA, 2831 nt
Organism: Macadamia integrifolia
Lineage: Eukaryota; Viridiplantae; Streptophyta; Magnoliopsida; Proteales; Proteaceae
Exons: 3
Source: RefSeq, a predicted model, not a curated record
CGCCUAUUCACUUUUUCAAAUUUUACUAGUUUCCAGUCCGCUCCUCGCACGUUUCGCUCUGCCGGGUCAGCGACUGGCUCUACUUCUCCUGCGAGAAUGACUACCAUCCUCCGCUUACCGCUGGCUCGUCGGAUCCUCUCUUUGCUUCUUGGAAGGCGCUUGCUGUGGAUCUGUUUGAUGAGCCAGCAACACCCAUAUGGUCUCCUUCCCCUUCAGCUCUCUUCGGCUUGCUUGUUGGUCCACCUCCGCUGCCGAAGGAAAAGGUCUGUGAGUCCUGGGUCUCCCUUUGGGAAUCCAAAGGGCUGAUACUUGUUAGCUGCUCGGGUAAGGGGUCCUUUUUUGCUGAUUUCGUCUCCUCUGAAGUUCGUGGCAACAUCCUCUCUGCGUCUCCCUGGUGGUAUGAUGAUGUUCUUCCACAUCUGGGUCUACAUGCCCUUGAGUUUCCUGCGUCGGCCAAAGAACUUGACUCGAUCCCCAUUUGGGUAUAGGUCUCCUUUGUUUCUGAGGAAGCAUUCUCCUUUCCCAAUAUACAAAUUGCUGCCUCUUGCCUCGGUAAAGUGCUUCUGCUGGUUCCUGCCGCUGUGAACGUCAGUUUUCCUGCGGGUACGGCUCGAGUCAAGAUCAAUUUCAAGAAAUCCAGGUCAUUAUGUCUGAUCUCUAAAUUAUCUCUUCCCAACGGAUCAGUUUCAGUUCGAGCUUCUUCAUCUGUGUUUCCUUUGUGGAAGGAUCACACAUACUGAUGGUUCUUGUAGCUAUGUUUCCAAGUCUGGCAAAGGUAGGAAGUCUAGUUCUCUCUUCCGUGAAGCCCUUACCAGUCCUCUGUUUGUCAAUUGCUGCCCGUUCUCUGUCUUAGCGGAUACGUUUUCUUGAGGCCCAAUGCCGAUGUGGCUAGUGUAUCAAAUAUUCCUGUGUAUUUGGUCACACCGGUAAGCGGCUCUGAGCCGCUUCCAACACCGGUUCUGGGCGGAGGCAUUAAUGAUUCACUAAACCAUCUGGCCACUGGGGAGACCAUGUUGAUGAAUGCACCCCGCUUUCCUGAACCUGCAACUUGCUCUUUGAACCAAAACGGCAUGAAUGAUCCGUUCUGGCCACAGUUUCCACUCUCUCUUGACCCGAAGGGACCACCUCCUUUCCCUAGUAUGGCUGAGAACGGACCAACUCUGUUUCUAUCAUCGAUGGAUAUCAACCAUUGUAAUAAUCAGACCCCCAUUAACCCAGUCUCCUCCACCCUAUGCGACAAUACACCUCUUUUAGCCAAUGACCAAAUUGAGACUGUACCGCCACCCAACCCUCAACCCAUCCCACCACCCAACCCACCUCCCCCUACAACUACGCUGGCACCUUCUCCGGCGGUUUCUUCCGAGCUUUCGGAUCGCCCCUCUUCUCCUACUCUUGAACUCCCAAAUGUCCGUUUUCGUCAUAAGCAGGUCUCAAUCCAGUACUUCUUGAGACCUUCUGAUCGUGUCCCUCGUCCAUUCUAUUCCUCUUGGGAGAAUGAGCCAGUCCUGGGCCGUGGCAGGAAAGGACUGAGACACCUUUCUUCCGACUCGUCUUCCAUUGAUCUACUUGAAGAACUUAUUGCCAGAUGAUCCUAACAACACCCUUUCACAACUUUUGGAUCGUUUUAAGGUGAAGGACACACGACAUGCUUCCGAUGCUCCCCCAACGAACAAUGAACCACAGCAUACAGAGGUGGGACCAUCCAAUCUAGAGAGGGCUGCGGAAACCACCAUUCAGGAUCGGGUGCACAUGCUCUUCUCCUUGCUCUCAAUGGUGGCAAUUUUUUUGGAAACUCAAUGUACAUCCAAAACUUAAGGUGUUCUUUUGGAGAUUGGCUCUACAAGGAAUACCUACAAAGAAUUUGUUGGGCAAAUGGAUAGACCUGGAUCCAUCAUGUGAUCUAUGUUAUGAAGGGCAAGAGGAUAUUCAACAUAUCUUUUUUUCAUGCAAUUUUUCAAGGAGAAUUUGGUCUGCAGGUCCUUUGGGACUACGAAGUAAAUGGCGAGGCUUCUGAAUCGGCUGCGAAGGGAACCUUAGUUGGAUUAGUAGAGGCUCUACAAAUGGGAUGGGCUGUUAAGGAGAUUUGGUGCGACAUGCCCGAUUUUGCAAAGCUAAUGAACCCUAACCAUUUUUUGAUGUGGCCAUGAUCCAUGAUAACUAGUAGAAUUGAAAUACAGAAACUCCUAUUUGCUCCAGAUUUUGUACUUAAAACAUCUAACACUUAUCCUAUCUACAUCCUUAAAUCGGUUGCUUCUCAAGUUGCAACAUCUAAAGGACUGUCUAUAACAAUUUUGAUCUUAUUUAUAUGUAAUGAAACUUAUUUCUUCUUCUAAAAAAAAAAAAACUAGACACCGGGCCCAUAAUUCCAACUCAGUGCUCAACAGAAGAUCAGGGUAGUCCCUGCUGGGCUUCAAAUUCAAGAUUGGUGGGUCUAAAUAAGUAGGAACCCAUGGAGGAAUAUGAUAUUCUUAAAGGAAUGGUCUUUACUCUUUUUCUUUUAAUACAAGGGUGCAGAGUUCCAAUUUCAUUUUAGCUUGGCCUCCAAAAUGGGGACCGCAUUUAUAAGCCCAUGGGUCUUUCUCUCUCUCCUUUUUGUUUUUUUUUUACCAGCUACUUUUUAUGGUUAAGGUCAGAUGUUGGGUCUAUGUUAGUCCUCAAAGAGACAGACUUCUAGUUGGUAACUUAGGGAGUUUUGAUUAGGUAAAGAACAUGCCACACAUUUGAACUCUGUUACUUAUUCCUUCCUUUUUUGUCUUUAUUGUGUACAAGCUAUACAGAGACUGGAUGGAGUAUGGAAGCAAAGUAAAGUGUAUUUGAAUUUUUUUUUUGCU